RNAcentral lists this long non-coding RNA (482 nucleotides) under Spirodela polyrhiza (greater duckweed). RNAcentral describes it as "long non-coding RNA (SPOL_LNC002346)". The record is from RNAcentral. Lineage: Eukaryota; Viridiplantae; Streptophyta; Magnoliopsida; Alismatales; Araceae.
GGGCGGCUCGGCUCCGAGGUCACCGUCGUCGAGUUCGCCCCGGACAUCGUCCCUUCCAUGGACUCGGAAGUCCGGAAGCUCUUCCAGCGGGCCCUGGAGAAGCAGAAGAUGAAAUUCAUGCUCAAGACCAAGGUGGUCGGCGUGGACGCCUCCGGGCCCGGCGUGAAGCUGACCGUCGAGCCGGCGGCGGGCGGCCCGGCGACCACCCUCGAGGCCGACGUCGUCCUCGUCUCGGCCGGCCGGACUCCCUUCACCGCCGGCCUGGGCCUAGAGGCCCUGGGCGUGAACAUGGACAAGGCCGGCAGGAUCCUGGUGGACGAGGAGUUCAAGACCAACGUGCCCGGCGUGCGCGCCAUCGGCGACGUGAUCCCCGGGCCGAUGCUCGCCCACAAGGCGGAGGAGGACGGCGUCGCCUGCGUGGAGUUCAUCGCCGGCAAGCACGGGCACGUCGACUACGCGCUGGUGCCGGGCGUCGUCUACAC